GAAAGUCUUUCUCAUUUGAUUUGCAAUGAUCGUGUAAUCCGAAAAUCGGUAGACUAACGAUCGAGAAGGGACCGUCAUCUCCCCCGCAAAUAAAUAAGAUGUAUAUUUGAAUAGAGGAAAUAAGAACGAAGAAACCGAUCACAAAAGAUGCAGUUGGAAAAAAAUAGGCUAAUAACGGUUAUCGUUACAUUAUAUAAUCCGGACGCAAUCUUGUUUACCAUUGAAACGGUCAAUUUUUACGUUCAAACGUAAAAAUAGCUUUUGCUCGUUAGAUUUAUCGAUUCCAGGUAUUUAGCAUGGGACGAGACGUAAGUAUUGUACCAGUAUUGCCCAUCGCUAGCUAUACAUUUUUCCCACC
This is a long non-coding RNA of Harpegnathos saltator (Jerdon's jumping ant), 358 nucleotides long. RefSeq lists it as uncharacterized. The transcript is spliced from 3 exons. NCBI's taxonomy places the organism in Eukaryota, Metazoa, Arthropoda, Insecta, Hymenoptera, Formicidae. The record is from RefSeq and is a predicted model, not a curated record.